UAACAGCCACUUGCGGCUGCCACUUAUUGUUGUGAUUUAUUUGUUUUUUUUUUAUGUCCAACAUUAAAUUACCUAACUUAUGAAUAAUAAAAAAUAAAAUAAAAUAAUACAAGGCUGUUAAACAGCCAUUCCGAACGCAGCCCUUGAGGCAGAUGUAAAUGUUCUUUUUUUUUAUUUUGUCAACAGCCAACUAAUUAUAUUUAAAGCCCAAACUACUAACUAAACCCUAAGUAUUUAUUUCUAGUGAAACCCUAAAUGAGUUUUUGUUACAGCCGUUCAACAUCAUCCCUCUCAAAUGUCCUUGCACUUCAUCUUCUCCAACAAACCAAACCCCAGCCCCUUUUCCCUGCUCUCUCCCUCUCGUUCAUGUAUCCGACAACCGGAGCCGGAAUUUCGGCCGAGCUCCGGCAUUCCUGUCUUCUCCGGCAAACCCCCACCCCUUCACAACCAUCUCCCUCACACUCACCCCUCCUCUCUCGACUCUCGCUCUGAUGAACGAAUGGUCGGCCACCAUCAUCGGUGGCGGCGCUCGGUGACGGCGACAGAACCACCUCAGCGGCAGCGUAGUUGUGGGUGGCGUUUCAGUGGUGGUUGCGGUCAAGAGACGGUGGUUACGGGCAGUGGCAGCGGCGACGACAAAGACGAUGGUUCUGCCGUUCUUUUUCGGAUAACCGCUCUCGUUCGUUCUCUUGGACUUCCGUUUACUCAUGCACCAUCGUUUGCCCAUAUAGGGUGACCGCGGUGUUCCAUCCUCUUAAACUCGUACGCUCGUCAACACUUGGAUAAUCGGAAGAUUUAGCAAUUAUGUUGAUUAAUGAAGUAUGGAUGAUUGAUGAAACAAGUUUAGGGUGGACUAGA
Long non-coding RNA from Helianthus annuus (common sunflower), 858 nucleotides. RefSeq lists it as uncharacterized. Lineage: Eukaryota; Viridiplantae; Streptophyta; Magnoliopsida; Asterales; Asteraceae. The transcript has 3 exons. The record is from RefSeq and is a predicted model, not a curated record.